GAUUGAACGCUGGCGGCAUGCCUUACACAUGCAAGUCGAACGGCAGCACGGGUGCUUGCACCUGGUGGCGAGUGGCGAACGGGUGAGUAAUACAUCGGAACAUGUCCUGUAGUGGGGGAUAGCCCGGCGAAAGCCGGAUUAAUACCGCAUACGAUCUACGGAUGAAAGCGGGGGACCUUCGGGCCUCGCGCUAUAGGGUUGGCCGAUGGCUGAUUAGCUAGUUGGUGGGGUAAAGGCCUACCAAGGCGACGAUCAGUAGCUGGUCUGAGAGGACGACCAGCCACACUGGGACUGAGACACGGCCCAGACUCCUACGGGAGGCAGCAGUGGGGAAUUUUGGACAAUGGGCGAAAGCCUGAUCCAGCAAUGCCGCGUGUGUGAAGAAGGCCUUCGGGUUGUAAAGCACUUUUGUCCGGAAAGAAAUCCUUGGCUCUAAUACAGUCGGGGGAUGACGGUACCGGAAGAAUAAGCACCGGCUAACUACGUGCCAGCAGCCGCGGUAAUACGUAGGGUGCGAGCGUUAAUCGGAAUUACUGGGCGUAAAGCGUGCGCAGGCGGUUUGCUAAGACCGAUGUGAAAUCCCCGGGCUCAACCUGGGAACUGCAUUGGUGACUGGCAUGCUAGAGUAUGGCAGAGGGGGGUAGAAUUCCACGUGUAGCAGUGAAAUGCGUAGAGAUGUGGAGGAAUACCGAUGGCGAAGGCAGCCCCCUGGGCCAAUACUGACGCUCAUGCACGAAAGCGUGGGGGAGCAAACAGGAUUAGAUACCCUGGUAGUCCACGCCCUAAACGAUGUCAACUAGUUGUUGGGGAUUCAUUUCCUUAGUAACGUAGCUAACGCGUGAAGUUGACCGCCUGGGGAGUACGGUCGCAAGAUUAAAACUCAAAGGAAUUGACGGGGACCCGCACAAGCGGUGGAUGAUGUGGAUUAAUUCGAUGCAACGCGAAAAACCUUACCUACCCUUGACAUGGUCGGAAUCCCGCUGAGAGGUGGGAGUGCUCGAAAGAGAACCGGCGCACAGGUGCUGCAUGGCUGUCGUCAGCUCGUGUCGUGAGAUGUUGGGUUAAGUCCCGCAACGAGCGCAACCCUUGUCCUUAGUUGCUACGCAAGAGCACUCUAAGGAGACUGCCGGUGACAAACCGGAGGAAGGUGGGGAUGACGUCAAGUCCUCAUGGCCCUUAUGGGUAGGGCUUCACACGUCAUACAAUGGUCGGAACAGAGGGUUGCCAACCCGCGAGGGGGAGCUAAUCCCAGAAAACCGAUCGUAGUCCGGAUUGCACUCUGCAACUCGAGUGCAUGAAGCUGGAAUCGCUAGUAAUCGCGGAUCAGCAUGCCGCGGUGAAUACGUUCCCGGGUCUUGUACACACCGCC
This 1369-nucleotide ribosomal RNA is filed under the name uncultured beta proteobacterium. RNAcentral's name for it is "bacterial SSU rRNA". It matches the Rfam family "Bacterial small subunit ribosomal RNA", at positions 27 to 1394 of the family's 1533-position model. The record is from RNAcentral. Lineage: Bacteria; Pseudomonadati; Pseudomonadota; Betaproteobacteria.